RNAcentral lists this ribosomal RNA (460 nucleotides) under uncultured bacterium. RNAcentral describes it as "partial 16S ribosomal RNA". It matches the Rfam family "Bacterial small subunit ribosomal RNA", at positions 338 to 795 of the family's 1533-position model. The record is from RNAcentral.
CCUACGGGAGGCAGCAGUGAGGAAUAUUGGUCAAUGGCCGGAAGGCUGAACCAGCCAUGCCGCGUGAAGGUCAGUGCCCUAUGGGCGUUAAACUUCUUUUGUGCGGGAGCAAUAAUGGUCACGUGUGGCCAGACGAGAGUACCGUACGAAUAAGCAUCGGCUAACCUCGUGCCAGCAGCCGCGGUAAUAAGGGGGAUGCAAGCGUUAUCCGGAUUUAAUGGGGUUAAAGGGUGGCUAAGAUGGGAGGUAAGUCAGCGGUGAAAUGCCCCCGCUCAAAGGGGUGAAGUGCCAUUGAUACUGCCUUGCUGGAGUGCGGAUGCCGUAGGAGGAAUGUGUGGUGUAGCGGUGAAAUGCAUAGAUAUCACACAGAACACCGAUUGCGAAGGCAUCUCACGAAUCCGCGAUUGACGCUGAUGCACGAAAGCGUGGGUAUCAAACAGGAUUAGAUACCCGAGUAGUC